This 497-nucleotide ribosomal RNA is filed under the name uncultured bacterium. RNAcentral's name for it is "partial 16S ribosomal RNA". It matches the Rfam family "Bacterial small subunit ribosomal RNA", at positions 28 to 507 of the family's 1533-position model. The record is from RNAcentral.
GACGAACGCUGGCGGCGUGCCUAAUACAUGCAAGUCGAGCGCUAACGGUUGGUACUUGUCCCAACUGGGUGAGCAGCGAACGGGUGAGUAACGCGUGGGGAAUCUGCCUUUUAGCGGGGGACAACAUUUGGAAACGAAUGCUAAUACCGCAUAAAAACUUUAAACACAAGUUUUAAGUUGGAAAGAUGCAAUUGCAUCACUCAAAGAUGAUCUCGCGUUGUAUUAGCUAGGUGGUGAGGUAAAGGCUCAACAAGGCGAAGGUACAUAGCCGACCUGAGAGGGUGGACCAGCAACUUGGGAAUUGGAAAAGGCCCAAACUCCUUAGGGAGGCAACAGUAGGGAAACUUUGGAAAUGGAGGAAAGUCCGGCCGAGGAAAGCCGCGUGGGGGGAGAAGGGUUUUGGAUCGUAAAACUACGUUGGUAGAGAAGAAAGUUGGUGAGAGUGGAAAGCUCAUCAAGUGACGGUACCUAAACAGAAAGCGACGGCUAACUACGUG